This 20324-nucleotide long non-coding RNA is filed under the name Solanum tuberosum (potato). Its description in RNAcentral is "long non-coding RNA (STUB_LNC006935)". Lineage: Eukaryota; Viridiplantae; Streptophyta; Magnoliopsida; Solanales; Solanaceae. The record is from RNAcentral.
UUUUUUUUUUUUUGGGUUAUUAAUGAUUAUUGUUGUUUGUUUUAUGUGGCGUGGUCCAUGUGCUAGCUUAAGUUGUGAGGAAAUUACAUUUAUAAUAUAUUUUUCCACCAUAUAAAUAAACUAUAAAUUUUGAUAUCUAAUCAUUAAAAAUUGACACUAUAGUACUAAGAGGGAAAUAUGACUUCAACUAAUUAUCUCAAAAUUGAGACUUUUCUCUCUUCUAUACCAAGUCUAUCAAGUUAUUCUUUACAAAUCGAAAAAUAAUAAUUGGUUGAUACGUCGAAUAUGAAUAAUAUAUGAAGAAAUGAAUUUUAAGUUUAAUUCAAAAAAUUAAUUCACAAAAUGAAAUUAUCCAAAAUCAUAAAAAAGAAACAAAAGUCUCUUUAAAGUCGUAAUGAUAUAACUUAACAUCCUCCACACCCCGCCUCCCCCCCUCCUCUUGCAUGCCUAGAACAACCGACUAAAGGUUGACAAUAUAAUAUGAAUUUCAAAUAUCAUAUAAACAAAGAAUUAGAAUAUGACUGACUCAAAUAUCAUGAAGCACCCAUAAUCAUAAAAAAAAAACUUGUAUAUUAAUUCUCUAUCAAUAUAAUAUACGUUAAUGUCGUCACACGUCCAAACCUCUAGUGUGAAUAACAUAUAUCAUGAGAGCUCAAUAUUGAAAAACUCAAUAAUGGAAGGAUCUCUCUUUGAUAUUGUGUGAAAAUAUGGACUUGAUGUUAACUCAAAUUAAAGUUAGCUCAUGAAGCAAGAAUUAUCUAAUGUCAUAUAAAUAUGAAAAUUAACAAUUAUGAUUCCUCAUUUAUUUAUAAAUUCAAAUGUUGAUCCUUUAGAUAUAUGACUGACACAUUUAUCCUUCAAAUAAUUAAAAUAUAACAGUAGAAAGUAAAAUCAAAUAUUCAGUAAUUCUUCCCACUUAAUCACAUCAUCAUUGUAUCUUCCAAAUUAAGUUACUAGUUUUUAAUAAAAUUGAUUAUUUAUGAUGAUGAAUUAAUUAAUUUUGAUUACCAAUCCAUAGAAUAAUCAUAAAGAAACAUACCAGAAUGUCUGCAUUAUUAACGAAGAACAAAUAAUUGUUUACUGAUAACUAAAUUUUCCUUUUCAACAACUUUUUAAUAAUUUGUAAGUUCUUGUAAAUGCAAAGCUAGAUAAUUAGCACUUUAUAAUUACCUUGGUAAAUAUUAAAAGGACUAACAAAUAAUUUUUUUUUGUCACUUUUCUUAUGAAAAAAAAAACAUAUCAAUAAUUAAUUUGGAGCUAUAAAAGUUUUAAAUAAAAUUUGAUAAUUUAAGUUUCUUGAAGGUUCUCAAUUGGGCUAUGUUACUAUGGGCCGGACAGGAAAUUGGCCCGAACCCGACGGUUUAACAUAUCUCGCAGAAAAUCUCAAGUUGGCUACAUCACGACUACGCUUACUAUUUUUCUGGUUUGGAAACUCAAGAAGGAAUUAAGACAAUAACAAUAAAUAUUUAUCUUCUGAUUUUACUGCCAAAAUCAUUCAAAAAGCCCAUGUUUUAUGUUAUUAAUGUACAAUGAACCCAUAGCAAAAGAACAACAAAUUGCCAAUUUGUUCUUUUGUCCAAAAAAAGACUAGGCUUGUUGUCCACAAUUUGUAUGAUCAAGACAUAUCAUAUGUAAUGUGACUUUCAAUUAAUAAAGUGGGAUUUUUGUCCCCUUUCUUGAUAGGCCUAUUUGUCAAUAUAUUCACCCUCAUGGUAUCCGUGACAUUCAUGACGAAGGGUGGGCCAAUAAGGAAUAAGUUAAAAAGAAGGAUUGAUCGACUUUUAAGUUGAAAAGCUUUUGAAGAAGGGGUUCACAAUGCAUGCACGUUUUUGAACUUAAUAAUGACGUAAGUCGAGGGAUAUUUCAUGAGGUUUUUUAACUAGAAAGGGCAAUAUGUGUUAUGGACUUGAAUCGUGACAAUAUCAUUUCAGUUUGUGCCAUAUGCUAAAAAUAUGAUUCAAAUCUCUAAUAAAAUUAUGUAAUUUUAGAGUUUUUUUUUAGGUAUGAAACUUUAGGUUAAAAGGCACAUAAGAAAACAUUUGGUCCAAAACCAUGAUUGUUAAUGGCUCAAAACUUACCUAUUAACCAUUUUAAUGAUUGCAUAUAACUUGAAAUUUAAAAUUGUACUUUCCCUAAAAAUGAAAAAUAUGCUUUUCCUUUUUGGUCAAAAGGGGAAAAUGUCAUCACUCAAAGGAAAGUAAAAAUUUUCCUUUUGCUUUUAAACUUGAAAGAGUAAAUGAGGAAUUUGACCAAUAUAUAUAUAUAUAAAAGGAUAGUCGAAUCGGUGCAUCCGAUUGUAUCCCAUAAAGAAAAUUAGAAAUCAGUCAAGUUUAUCAUGUUGAACUUACCUAGUACAAUUUACAUAUGUGAUUUGCGAGCUAUUAUACAUAACUAAGGUGCACCAAAAAAUAGCAUUUGUAGUUUCUUUUGGGUGUCCUAUUUUAUUCAAUUACUUUACAAGAUUGUUAAGGAUGUGUGAACUACUAUAACAAUAAUAUUAUAUAAGAAGUAUUUGAAAAGGGUUGUGUAUACGUAAUAUUACUUUUAAUUUUAAAAGGUAGAUAGUGUAUUUCUGAUAGACCCUCAACUAAAGUAAAUAAUUUGAGAUAUACAAUAAUAAUAACAAUAGCAUAUCAGUCCAAUCCCAUAAGUAGAGUCUUAAAAGAGUAACGUGUACACAACUUUACCCAUAUUUUAAAAAGAUAAAUAGAUUAUUUUUAAUGUUAGAAAAAUGAUUAGUCAACUAAUAAAUGAUGUUAAUAUUCAGUGAGUUCAACAAACAUUGAAUUGAUUUUGUCCAAAUUUAGAAUUGGUCAAAUGUCAUAAUGUUUUAAGUAACAAAAUGAUCUUUAAUCCAAAAAGGGAAAAUGAGUUGAUAAGAAUUUCCCUAUAAGAAAAAAAGAAAGAUCUUUAAACCAAAAGAGGAAAAUAAUUUUAAUUUUCAACCCACUAUAAAUAUGUAUGAAAAAAAAGUUUCAGAAAAGAACUCAAAAUUAUUUGAGAAAAAAAUGAUGUCCAUCACUAAGCAUUUGAUUUUCUUCACUUUACUUAUUUUUGUCAUCUUUCCUGCUCAUGAAUGUAAGUAUGAUUAAAAAAAGUUAAUUCUUCAUUAUGCCUUUGAAAUUAGAAUUAGCUAUGAAUUUCGUUAUUAAAUUGCUAGCUAGUUGCAGACAUAAUUAUGUUAUGAUAAUAUGUCGCUAAAUAGGAUUAGCAACAAACUUUACCGUUUAGCCACAAAAAUUUUCUCAUGCUAAUUCCUGUCUUUCUAGUAGGGUUGCCUAAUAUAUAGCAAGAUAAAAUUAGUGUUUCAUUUUAUUUUUUCACUCGAUAUUUGAUAUUAGUAUUGUAGCUCUCAUCAGGCCCAUUAAAAGGAACAAAUAACAAUACUCCUUACUAGACUUAUUUCAUAUUUAUAUAUACAAAGUUAAAUCUUUUGGCUUAUUGAUUUCUUUACUUCUUUAUAUUUUGAGUUUUUUAAAUGAAAAUUUCAAUUCCACCACCAAUAACCUAAUUAAAGCUCGAACCCAUUUCCGAUUGAGAUUAGUAGAGGAAUUUUGUUUGUCUCACCAUAAUCCUCGAUAGUAAAUAAAAUGAAAUUAACUCUAAUUUAAUUAUGUUGGCUUGUUUUUUUAUUUGUCUCUCAUCUUAAUAAUCAUUUUUUUUGUUUUAAUUAAUUUUAUCUUAUAUUUUAAUGUAGGUGAAGAAGUAUUUGAUAAAUUGAGUAUCAAAUAUGGGAGAAAAGAUGGGAGACUUAUUAAUCUUGGCAAGUGUUUCCAAUUCACAAUUAACCAAUGGUGUUGUGAUUCAACUACACCAGUAAAGUGUUAUGAUUCAAUGGAUCAUUGCAAACAAAAUUGUCCCCCAUGGCCUACUACUCAUAAUUAGGAUUAAUUAAUUAACAAAUCCUCUUCAAGAGUUUUGUUAAACAUCUUAUGAAGCUUCAUAUAUGAAAUAAAUAAGUUCUUGAGUUAUUGCAUAAUUUCAUUUUUGGUUCUUGUGCUAUUCGAUUAAGUAUAUUUAGCUUUUAAUUAAUCAAUUGUUUUGUAUUGAUCCCUAAACUAAUCGUACUAACGAAAUUAAAUAAAACUUGAUAGAAUUUUUAAGUGAAAAAUUGAAAAACUUUGUCAUACCAUUUAGGCAUAAAAUUGUCCAUAUGGAAGCAUACGAGAGCUAACGUUAGCGGAAGAUUCUAGAGUUAUGAAGAGAUUUUGAGAAGACUCUAGAAUAUCCAAGAGAGUUCUUGGAAGGCCUAGAAGACUCUAGGCCUCUAUAGAAUUUUAGAAGUAGGGGGCGUAUUUGUAAAUAUGUAUGGACUUGUGUUACAAUUUUUAUUUACAUCUUAACCCCUAGGUGUGUACUAUAAAUAGAGGAGCAUUUAUUUGUAACUCAACCAAAAAGAAGCAAACAAAUUUUCAAGCAAUACAAAAACCUUCUUACAAAUUUUCUUGUGUCUUUCUUCAUUCUCUUAGCGGUCUAAUUCGAAGAAACUUAUUAGAGCUUACAAAAUUGUGAAAGAAUCGUGAGAAUCAUGGUAAAGUGAUAUCCCGUUAAAAUCUCUUCGAAGCUUUCCCCCUAAAUAAACAAAUAAUAUGAAGUUGCACACCAUUGUGUUGUCAUUUUGCCAAAAGAAACAUACACAACCUUUUUAAUGACAUAUACAUAUACCUCUUGUAUAAAAAUGAUCUCGGAAAUUCAUUAUCUCGUCUAAUAAGAUAUUUUGUGAUUUAAGAUCAACCACACAACCGCACAUGCAUGUGUACGUCAAAUGUAACACAUAUGUUGUUGAUUUUUUUGAUCUAACUCAAAUUUAAAUGUGGAGCAAAGAAAAUACAACAGGUAAGCAAACAAACAUUCAUAAAGUCUAGACAACAUAAAUCAUGUAAGAAAUACCUUUCAUUCUGUGUACAAACUUCCUCAUGAUAUCCAUUUCAUAACAAAGAAACACGUUUUUGUAUUGAUGAGUUCUGCAGUACUUUUAUGAUGUUCUCAUAUGAUGUGUUUACCAAAACAUUCACGUUGCUCUGCACAAAGAAAUUUUCACUUUGAUAUUACUGUAGCCACUUAAAGAUACAAAAGAAAUUAUUGUAUUACCAUGUUUCUGUCCGUUGACAACCCUUUGGAAACUUUAAAUGUGCAACCAUUGAUGUUCAAGCCCAAACACUUUGUACACAUCUCAUUGAGAUCCCGAAACUUGGACUCCUUUUGUUUCUUCUGUGAAAGUUAUAAUUAACAAUCCCGGAUUUUGAACGAGUGUGACAGUAAAAUUUAGGGCUAAUCAAAAUUUAGAGUUAUUAGUACGAGUAUAAUAUUCUAUGUAGCUAACAGAUAGAGUAUAAAAAUAAAAUGGGUAUUACAAUAAAGUUAAAGAACUCAAUCAAAAUGUUAAGUUUAUCUUCACAUUACAAUGGGUAUUACCUUUGAAAAAGCUGAUAGUAUGGCGAUUCUUUAAGAAAAAAUUCACAAACACGCUUAAUGUGGAGGAAUGUUGAAAAAAAGAAGAAGAGUAAAUCGCUCAUUAGGCAGCGAGAAAAAAGAAGAGAAAAUCGCGGAUCGUGUAGUGAGAUGAUAAUUUUUAUUUAAAAAAAAAAACGUCGUUUAACAAUAGUUAAAUCACAAUGAAAUAUCCCUUUUGGUUAAACCAAAAUUUAAAUGGCCCUUUAUACAUUUUAAAGGAAAAAAAUGGCCCUUUUAUGUCCAAACUCCACAAUAAAGGGUCUAAACUUGAGUCACAACACCAUUUGUUUAUUGUGUACUGGAAACACUUGCCAAGAUCAAUAAGUCUACCAUCUUUGAUACUCAAUUUAAAAUAUAAGAAAAGUGAUUAUUAAGAUGAGAGACAGAAAAUAAACAAACCAAUUAAAUCGGAGUUAAUUUCGUUUUAAUUACUAUAAAAAAUUAUGGUGAGAUAGUUCAGUCGUGUUAUUAAAGACACCUCGUUGCGUGAUUUUGGAAAUCAUGGAGUUACUCUUUGAUACUAUACUUCCCCGUCCAACAAGAGUUGCCCACUAUACUAAAAAUAGUUGUCCAACAAUAUUUGUCCAAUUUAGAAAAUUAAAACAUAAUUUACCUUUUAUGUCUAUUUUACCCUUACUAUUAAAUAUUAUUUAUCAUCCAAUACAUUUUUCAAAGCAUUAAAUUUAAUAAAGUCAAAGGAUAAUAUAACAAUAUUACUCUAUUAUUUAUUGAUUCUUAAGGGGUGUGCUAAGUCGAUAGGACAACUAUUGUUAGACAGAGGGAGUAUUUAAUUUGGGGAUGACACAAUGAAAAUUUCAAAAUUUAAAACUUGACUUGGCUAAUGUCAUCUAGCACCUCCUUUCCAUCUAUUCUAACCUUUCUAGACAGAUUUAUCAAAUACUUAUUAUUGGCGGGGUGGCAAACAGUGGCAGACCCAGAAUUUUCGUUCAGGGGGUUCGAAAAAUAAAAGUAUAAACGUGUAAAUAAGCCAACAAAAAAAAAUUUCAAGGAAGUAGUAGUAUAUAGUUUAUAGGUACAAAAAGUUAGUUUCAUUACAAGAAAUCCGAAACUAACAUAAGUGAUUACAGUGAAACAAAAAGUUAGCCCUUUAAAAUAUGUCAAAUCAACAAUAGAAUAUUAUGGGAGAUGAUUUUAAUAUUUGAGUUUUGAGUGUUGGGGAAGAACAAGAAAGUGAUUCAGAGAUUUGGAAAGUGAAAAAGUUAUUAGCGAAUGGGAGUAUGGGACCUUUGAAUUUUUUGGGUUUAACACCACAUUUUAGCACUUUUAUUUUUUUAAAAAAACUAAAACAAACAUGAAAAUCUGAACUGGAACUAAAAAGAAAAAAAAAACUGAAAGUAAAAAACUAAAAAAAAAAACGCUAACCUGGGGAUUCGAUCCCUGGACGUCAGGUUUAAUAUUGAAGGGAGCAGCCGCUGGGCUAUCUCCUUCAUUGAGGGGGUUCAAAAUAUAUAUAUCCACAUAAAUCCAGAAAAUUCACCUUAUAUAUACAGUGUAAUUUUUUAUCGAGGGGGUUCGGGUUCACCCCCUAGACAUCACGUGGGUCUGCCCCUGGUGGCAAAUAUCCCGUGAAAUAAGCCGAGAUGUGUGCAAGCUAGCCCGAGAACCACAAUUUGUAUUAAAAAAAAAGAGAGAGAUAAAAGUAGAGGAUAUCUUCAAUAGUUAGCUUUACUGAUUUAGAACAUCUUCAUAGGGUGGUAUAUUCAGUCAAAUACAUUCUUCUCUACAAGUACCUUAGAGUUCAGUUCAUACAAGUGAAAGCAGCUAAGAGGCUAGUGCUUAUUCUAUUCUGCCUCAUUUUCAUCUCUUUUUCGUUUCUUCAUCCUCGCUUGCAUCAAUUUCAAAGCAUAUACAACGUCCUUCAUAGUUGGCCUCUUGUCUGGAUGAUCGAGAUUCAAGCAGAGGAAUGCCAGAAGUGUGAUCUCAAAUGCAUUUGAAUAAUCAACUUCUUCGAAGCACUCAUGAACCAAAUAUCUUUCACCACGUUUAGCCUCAUCUAUAACAAUCCAAUCCAGCUGAUAAGGACCUCGACAGAUAAACUCAUUCUUGGCUAUCAGCUUUAGCAGUAGAACGCCAAAUAUAUAAACAUCAGAUUUCAUUGAUCGUUUACCUGUAUCCAUCCAGAAAAUAUAAGUACAGAACUGCAUUUAGUAGAGAAAUUACAACAAUAACAGCAUACCCAAUGUAAUCCCACGAGUGGGGUAUAAGGGAGGAUAGAGUGUAAGCAGACAUUACGCCUACUCCGAGGAGGUAGAGAGGUUGUUUAUGAUAAACCUUCGGCUCAAGUAAAUCAGUUCAAUAUGUAAAAAAUACUAUGCCAUAUAUAACAACAAAUAUGAUGAAAAUUCUCCACAAAGGGAAAGCUCAAGGAGCCAUAAUUCUUAAUUUGGACGUAUCCACACUAGCUCUUUCCUGUCUCAGCCAAAUACAUAAAAAUAUGAGGGUCAUUGCACCUCACUAGCUCUUAAGUUAUCUCGUUGUAUCUAAACCAGUGAGACAUCAAAGUUCGACGUAUACAUUCUUAUUCCCCACCUCCAGGUGAAGGUCAAGAAAAAUCAUCAAAUGAAUGAGAUGUCCAAAGGAGGGCUCAAUUAAUAGAAAUCACAGAAGAAAGUAGUAUCUUUUGGCAUCAGAAAUCAAUAAUGCACAAAAGCAGGUACAAGAAAAUAGCAAAGAAUGGAAGAUGGCCUCUCUUUUUCCCUCUUGGAAACAUGUUCACAGUUUCUUUUCUUUUUUCCCAACGACCUCCCUAUCAGACCCUCCAAGUCCAUUUUCAGUCCUAACAAACAUAUCGUAAUAUUCUUCUUUAGUAACUUACUUUUCCGAUAGUGGGUUUCUGUUUCUUCACAUGUGCAGCAUCUCUUUAAAUCCUCUACUAUUUGAUUGAUAUCCCCUGUGCUUCUUCAGCUUCUCCAACGAGAGGCAACUGUUUGACUUGGAGAGUAACUUAUGCCUAGGAUACAGUGACUGGACACGUAAGACAAGCUAUCAGUCGGAUACUGAAGACACAAGUUCAGAAAAUUCUCAGUGAUACAGAUUGGUCAAAAGAAGGAAGAGCUUUAUCACUCGGAUAAGUGGCAGCACAAACAUUUUGGCUUCAGAUAUGAUUUCGGCUUUGAUUAUUCCCACGGGCUAUUGAGGCUUAAGGAAAUCAAUCAAUCCCUAAUUACAAUAGAAGCAAAUUACGCUACCUACUAUACAUACAUAUAUUCUAGAAUAUUCACAAUGAUUCUAAUACUCCCCUCAAGCUGGUGCAUAAAAAUUCUAUGUACCAAGCUUGCUACAUAUAUAACUUGUACUCCGGCUAGGGACUUUUCAUGGCUAGUCAUUUGACUAUUUGGGUUUAUCUCAAUCAUAUAGGUCUUCUAUCAUAGUUUCAUAACUAACCAUGGUCUCUAUCUGGCAUAUAUUCCAAUUAGAGAAUAACAAAGAGAAGAACGCAAAGAAAUGGAAAAAAGUUGUGAGUUUUAAUUGAUGAAACCUAGACCUCAAACAAACAUUGUUGCAUCAUGUAAUACAGAGAAAACUAUACGAAAAAACUUAAAUCUAGAGCAUGAAAUUAUCAGAGGUCAGAGCAAACAUGCCUUCCCAAAUCUCUGGAGCAUCCGAGCCAACACGAACUUUUACAGGAAUAUUAGUAUCUUCGUUCACAUGAUUUGAUACGUACCCAAAGUCAAAUACUUUUAUGUUUACUUCCUGCAAAUCAAACCAAUGUGAUAAUAACACAUGAAAAUCUUGAGAUAUCUAAAGGAUAUAAAAGUCAAGACGACAACCAACUGUUCAUCAAACUCACCUCAUCUAUCAUAAUGCAUGAAGCAGUAACACAACCAACUGCAGUCCCCUUAUCAUGCAACCAUGAGAAGAGAUCUGCAAGUUGGGUUGCCACUUUCAUCCGAUCAUUCCACCCAAAGUCAUCUGAGACGAGAAAAAGAAAAUAUAAAGAAUGUGCUAAAAAGCACACAAAAGUCGGAGAGAAGCACACAAUAGUACCCGAUAGAAGCACAUCCGACAACAGUACACUGGUGAAUUUUGCAUCGUAGACAACUGCAAGCCUUGUAUCAAAACAAUACCUAUACAACUUCACCAAAUUUGGAUGUGUAUUUGCUCUUUCAUCUGUUAAUAACUCAAUCUCAUCCUACACAAAAGAACCUCUGACAUCAUUUAACCAACAAAAAAAUCAGACAAGAAAUAAAAUUCAGACCUAUCUCACAAACAUACACAAAAUUUAUCUAGACGUGGAGCAUUCCCAGGUUUCAUAGGAAGGAGAUAAUCCCAUGUCUUUACAAUAGCCGGUCUUGUUACAGAUCCUUCAACAAUAAUGCCAUGGAACAGUCUUCCUGUAAAAGUUUUUUGAAUUUCUGCAGGAUUCUUGAAAUUAGUCAUCUUGUCCAACUCGGAGUAGCUGCAAUGCUUCGCCUCACCAACCAUUGUAGGCUCAAUGGAGAAGUCGAAGCUGCAUUUGGCAACCAGAGAAGAUCAGUGAAACAAGAAAUAAUAAUACCGCGGAUGUCUAGCUUGUGAAAUGGGACAUCUCAAGGUCAGGGAGAAAUUUGGAGCAGGUACCAUUUAAUCCCAAUCAAAAGGUACCAAGGUCAUCAGUGCUUGAACCAAUUGUGGUUUAGUGAGAAAGGUGCAAACAAAAAACGAAAACAUAUGAUGCAAGAAAAAUAACUAUAAUUGUAUGAGAUAGGAAUUAAUAGAACUGCAUCUAAUUGAAAGAAGAGAGAAAUUGACAUAAACAACAACAUACCCAGAGAAGUCCCACAAGUGGGGUCUGGGUAGAGUAGAGUGUACACAGACCUCAACACUAGCUCACGAGACUUUCCGAAAGACAUGGGCUCAAGUGCAAGGAACAAUAACAACAACAAAAUAGUGUGAUAAUCAAACACAACAAACAAUUUGUCCAAUACGAGACCUUCCUAUCUAAAGUCAGUCAGUCAUGUGUUAGUAUAUAAUCACACCUCUCCCCCAUCUAAAGUCAUGAAUGUUAGUAUAUAAUCACACCUCUCCCCGAUACUAGACAAAAGCAAUAACACCAGAACCCUAUAUUCCAUACCAAUACUUGAAACUCAAUCAAAUAUUCAUCAAUAAAACCUAAAAAGAGAUGAAAAUCAUUCAAACCCUUGGUAACGCUUGCAUUCUUCAUAAAAACCAUCAUCAUCGUCCAUUAAAACUUCACGGCUGGAACUCAUGGACAAAGGGUAAGGCAAACGGGAAAUAUCUCUAAAUCCCUCGUGUAAGUUGUACAUUUGGUACUGAUACGGCCAACACCCCCAUUCUGAAAACUUCUUUCGGAUUGCCUCAAUUGACACACUCUUCUUCUCCUCGUUUCUCAUCCCAACGUCUGUCGCCAUAACCGCCGUCGGCCCGUCGUCGUUGGGUNNNNNNNNNNNNNNNNNNNNNNNNNNNNNNNNNNNNNNNNNNNNNNNNNNNNNNNNNNNNNNNNNNNNNNNNNNNNNNNNNNNNNNNNNNNNNNNNNNNNNNNNNNNNNNNNNNNNNNNNNNNNNNNNNNNNNNNNNNNNNNNNNNNNNNNNNNNNNNNNNNNNNNNNNNNNNNNNNNNNNNNNNNNNNNNNNNNNNNNNNNNNNNNNNAACCGCCGUCGUCUCGUCGUCGUUGAGUAAUUCAUACCUUUAUUAAUAUAGGAACAUACAUUACAUGCAAAUAAAACGUGUUGAAAUUGGAGAUUAAAUUGACUUUAAUUGAGGAUUCUUUUAAAUGGGUUAGAACUUGAAUGAGGUUGAAAUUAAACUCAAUUCAAAUUAUCUUGAGUCUAACUCAUAAAAUUAUGGACAAAUUGGACAAAUUACCUACAAUUGGGCUCAAUUUUGACACCUCUAGAAGGAAGUAUUACAAUUAUACUCCCUCCAUCCCAAUUUAUAUUAGUUUGUUUGAUUUUGUAAAGAAAGAAAUAUAAAUUGACACAUGUAUUCGAAGAGUCCGGUAUUCUAUAGGAAAAAGGGGCACAAUACAAUUAUAAUUUCAUAAUUCAAUCCAAACUAAUUAAGCAAAUACCUAUUCUUCCAAAAUAAAGUACACUUCAUGCCCUCUUUAUCAAUAUAUAUAUAUAUAUAUAUAUUACCUUAAAAACAUGAAUUUCUAACUUGAAUGUUAAAUUACUAUAAUAUCCCUAACUUAUGUUAUGAUUUUUACGAUGAGUUGUGAUAUUUUUGAAAAGUUGUGACUUUUUUCAAAGGAUUGUAAUUUUUUAAUGAGUUGUGACUUUUUCAAAGUGUUGUGACAUUGUCAAUAAGUUGUGACUUCUCGAAAAGGUCAAGACUUUUUAGAUAAGACACAAAAAACGCUUGUUCAUACUACCCUUUGUUGACUAUAAAUAGAGGGGGUUCCUCUCAUUUUUCAGCCACAAUUUUUUUAAAUCUUCUACUCUUCUUCUUCUUGCACUUUAAAAAAUUUCGUGUUAUUUAUUGUCGUUGCGUGAGUUCGAAGUUUAGCGGAAUAUGAGGUACCACUAUUCUGAUGAAGUAAAUCAUUCUAUAGAGGUAUAUUCAAUAACCUCGAGUACUUGACGAAAAUAAUUUUGAUGAUAUAAUUAUUAUUUUUUGCUUAAUAUAUACAUUAGUACGUAAUGUUCAAAUAUAUGAAGUCAACAUUAUGUAGUAUAAAUUCAUUUAUUUUUGUUAAAAAUUUCUCUUGUGAUGUAGAUAUAUGCUUCUGAAUAUUUUUUUCGAAAAUUAUUAAACUUCUCAAGAGUUAAAGAAUUGUCACGGUUUGUUUUUUUUAUGCUCAAAACAAAUAAUGACUUUAUAUAUCAAUGCUACUUAUGUGAUUUUGAUUGUCAUGAAGUUUGCUUCAAAAUAAUUAUUACUAUAUAAAGUUUGCCCUUUUGUUUUACUAAUUUACUAUAUCUUAAUAUUUCAGUAUUUUGGACCAAAAAAAUUCAUAUGACUUGUAAUAUCGUCAGUUGAACUUUCUAUUAGUUUAUUUUUUAUUAUUUAUUUAAUAGCUAAUUUAUACGAGAUAAAUAUUUUCAUUAAUGCAAAUAUAUAUAUAUNNNNNNNNNNNNNNNNNNNNNNNNNNNNNNNNNNNNNNNNNNNNNNNNNNNNNNNNNNNNNNNNNNNNNNNNNNNNNNNNNNNNNNNNNNUAAAAAACUAACAAAAAAUGUGAAAAUAUGUGAAUAUAUAUGAAUCAUUUAAAAUUAAUCAUUUACAAAAAAAAAUUAUAUUCAGUAAUGUGGAAUAAACAUUUUCAUUUUGUCCCUACAUAAAAUUAAAAUCUAAUAACUAAUAACUAUAAAAAAAUAUAGUAACAUUAAUUAAAAGUCCUAUUUAUUUAUGGACGUAUAAAAUUUAUUAGAAAUUCAGCUAUUGCACAUUAAUACUUUGGUUAUAACAUUAUCAAUUCACUUCAUUAUGACUUAUUAUUGCAAACAUUAUUCACACCUCCUUUAGUUAUAAUAUUAUUAUGAAUUCUCAUACUUAUUACAUUAAUUAUUUAUAUCUUUCAUCUUUCAUUAUAUUAACUUUUGACCAAUAAUUUUUCAUACUAUUAUACCGCCUCUAUAUAUGUAAUAACACGAUGUUGUUAUUUUUUCUUGGACAAAUCAUGCUUGGUUGAAUAAAUUGAAAAUCGUUUACAAGUAUAUGAACUAUAUCUUUGUUGGGUGUCAGAUAAACAUGCUAUUAUAUAUAUGAUUUCACAUAUAGAAUAUAUUCUUUAAUUUUAAUUUUUAGUUUUUUCAUAAAAGAAGAAGAAGAAGGAAACUUUUAUCAGUUAACUAUGGAUAGUCAGAUAACUAUAUUUGAUUUAUGUACACAAUCUAUCGAUAAGUCAAAUAUGAGAGUCAACAACAAGAACGUCAUCUAUUAUGUUAUAACUUACAAAAUAAAAUUAAUAUACAAAAGAUAGUUCUAAAAAAAUAAAAUGAAGUUGUUCUCUUCACAUGUUCAUAUGACAUCUAAACAGUUUAAUGUGGAAUACACGUGCAAAGCACAUCUGGUUAAAUGAUUAAAAAAAUACACAAUAAAUAUCAUCUAUAAGGUAAUAUUAGUGAGAUACGAUUAAUUACAUGAUUUAACCUCAUCAAAUUGAAAUAAAUAUAUACAUUAUUACAUUUAACUAAUAAAAAUUUUCACUGACCAUCUUCAUAGGUUCGCGUGAAUAAGAGAUAUAUAUGACGAUCCACAUCGAACAUUCACUAAAGAAUCUGCAAUAUUAUUUUGUGCAAAGCUAAUUAUUCAAAUCUUCGCUUAAAUAAUCAAAUACUAUUUACUAUGACAUAUAUUUUAUGAAUUGGUAAUCACGCGCAACACACGUGUCGAAAAACUAAUUUAUUCAAAAUGGUCCAAUUCACAAUUAAUUGGUUAUGCAGAUGCAGGAUAUUUGUCUGACCCAUAUAGAGGUCGAUCUUAAACUCGAUGGAAAAUGAAAUAAAUCCUGGUAGUAGUUCCAAGUUCAACAGAAAAUGGGUUAGUUGGUGGUCCUGAGGGGGUGCUGUAUCCUCCUAUACUAGUUAGGAGUACAAGCAAGUCAUCAGUUCGUUUAAUGGGUGAAUUUGGUGCUGUGACCAUUGAGCGAUUUCAGCAAGAGUGGUCAGACAGACUACUAUAGUGAGUCUAGAAUAGUCAAAUUUCUCUAUAAUAGCGUCAUUCGUCUGGAUAUAUUUUGACUAUUAUUGUAGUGAGAUGCUGUUAUACAAAACAUAUAAAUAACAUAAUAUGGAAGUUGGUUUCAAAGGAAAUUUGACGGUUAUAAUGAAAUGUUGUUAUAGAGAUGAGUGAUGAACCUGUAGAAGUAUUUUGAUAAAUUUUGACUAUUCUAUUCUGCCUCGUUUUCAUCUCUUUUUCGUUUCUUCACCCUCGCUUGCAUCAUUUUCAAAGCAUAUACAACGUCCUUCAUGGUUGGCCUCUUGUCUGGAUGAUCGGGAUUCAAGCAGAGGAAUGCCAGAAGUGUGAUCUCAAAUGCAUUUGAAUAAUCAACUUCUUUGAAGCACUCAUGAACCAAAUAUUUUUUACCAAGUUUAGCCUCAUCUAUAGCGCACAGAUCCAGCUGAUAAGGACCAGCACAGAUAAACGCAUUCUUGGCUAUCAGCUUUAGCAGUAGAAUGCCAAAUAUAUAAACAUCAGUUUUCAUCGUCCGUUUACCUGUAUCUCCAUCCAGAAAAUAUAAGAACAUAACCGCAUUUAGUACAGAAAUUACAACAAUAACAGCAUAACCAGUGUAAUCCCACGAGUAGGGAAUGGGAAGGAUAGACUGUACAAAGACUUUACCCCUACUCCGAAGAGGCAGAGAGACCAUUUCUGAUAACCCUUGGCUCAAGUAAAACACUUCAAAAGGACAAUAUACUAGUAAAGUAGACAGCAGAUAAACUAUGUAAAAGUUACUAUGCCAUAUAGAACAGCAAACAUGAUGAAUAUUCUCCACAAGGGGAAAGCUCAAGGAGAAGUUAGAGAAAAGGUUGGCAUCACGGCAGAUGCAAAAUUUGUCAAUGGGUGGGAGAUCGAUACUAAUUAACAGUGCGUUAGACAGCAUUCCAACUUUCUACAUGAGACUAUUUCCCAGAUCCAGUAAGAUAUAUACUGAAGCAGAUUGAUAAGGAUCAGGAGGAAUUGCCUAUGGGAGGGUAACAACAAGUUUCACAGGCCAAAACAAUCGGGAGGAUUGGGCAUAAAAGAUUUGGUUCUUCACAACUAAUGCUUACUCAUGAAAUGGUUAUGGAGGUACCCUCAGAUGGGACAAACUCUAUGGAAGGAAGUAAUCAAGGCAAAACAUGGAGUCCAAAAUCAUUGGUGCUCCAAGCUGUUCCGAUCCCCUCAUGGCGUGGUGUAGGCCUAUGGAAGAGUUCUGAUGGAGGAAUCCCAAGUCUAUUUCAAAUAGCACGUGAACCAAAUUCUUCCAUUUCUAAGAACAAGGAAGACAGCACCUGGAAUUACUAUUCAGACUGGGAAAUUUAAUAAGUGAUCAACCAGUUCUCAAGGCUAGAAGGCCAAGUGAUAAAUGUCCAGGAAGCAGACAAGUUAAAGUGGGGCAGUGACACGGAUGGUAAUUACGCAGUGAAAGCAGGCUAUGCAAACUCAUAUGCUCCUAAUGAAGUGCUUUGUAACCGGUCACGGAGUUGAUAUGGAACAAAGAUCAUAUGCUUCAGCUGGAUAGCCCUUCAUGAAGCCUGCCUCACUCAAAACAAGCUUAAGAAAAGAAAAUUUCAAACUGCCAAUAGAUGUUACAUGUGCCAACAGAACCUUGAGUCUAACAACCAUCUAUUUUACAUUGUACAGUCGCUGCUGACUUAUGGAGUCUGUUUAUGUCUAUAUUUGGUAUUAAUUGGGUAAUGCCACAUAGCAUCAAAGAGGCCUUCGAAUGCUGGUGCAUAAAAAUUCUAUGUACCAAGCUUGCUACAUAUAUAACUUGUUCUGGGACCGGCUAGGGACUUUUCAAGCCUAGUCAUUUGACUAUUUAGGUUUAUCUUAAUCAUAAAGGUCUUCUAUCAUAGUUUCAUAACUAAGCAUGGCCUCUAUCUGGCAUAUAUUCCAAUUAGAGAACAACAAAAAGAAGAACAUAAAGAAAUGGAAAAAAGUGAUGAAACCUAGACCUCAAAAACAAACAGUGUUGCAUCAUGCGAUACAGAGAAAACUACACGAAAAAACUUAAAUCAAUAGCAUGAAAUUAUCAGAGGUCAGAGAAAACAUGCCAUUCUGAAUAUCUGGACCUUCCCAGCCAACACGAACUUCUACAGGAAUUUCAGUAUCUUCAUUCACAUUAUUUGAUACAAACCCAAAGUCAAAUACUUUUAUGUUUACUUCCUGCAAUCCAAAACCAAUGUAAUAAUAACGCGUAAAAAUCUUGAGAUAUCUAAAGGAUAUAAAAAGUCAAGACGACGACCAAGUGUUCAUCAACCUCACCUCAUCUAUCAUAAUGCAUGAAUCACUAACAUAGCCAAAUGCAAUCCCCUUCUCAUGCAACCAUGAGAAGAGAUCAGCAAGUUGCGUUGUCACUUUCAUCCGAUCAUCCCACCCAAAGUCGUCUGCAGACGAGAAAAAGAAAAUAUAAAGAAUGCGCUAAAAAGCACAAAAAAGUCGGACAAAACAGUCGUUCAACAUAAUACUCAAAGAAGUAAGUACCAGCCAGAAGCACAUUCGACAACACUCCGGUGAAUUUUGCAUCGUAGACAACUGCAAGCCUCGUAUCAAAACAGUACCUAUACAACUCCACCAAAUUUGGAUGCUUAUUUGCUCUUUCAUCCGUUAAUAACUCGAUCUCAUCCUACAAAAGAACCUCUGACAUCAUUUAACCAACAAAAAAAUUAGACAAGAAAUCAAAUUUAGACCUAUCUCGCAAACAUACACAAAAUUUAUAUAGACGUGGAGCACACUCAGGUUUCAUAGGAAAGAGAUAAUCCCAUGUCUUUACAAUAGCCGGUCGUGCUACAGUUCCUUCAACAAUGGUGCCAUGGAACAGUCUUCCUGUAAGAGUCUUUUGAAUUUCUCCACGAUUCUUGUAAUUAGUCAUCUUGUCCAACUCGAAGUAGCUGCAAUGCUUCACCUCACCAACCAUCAUUGGCUCGAUGGAGAAGUCGAAGCUGCAUUUUGGCAACCAAAGAAGACGGAUGACUCAGAGAAAUCCCACAAGUGUGGUCUGGGGAGGAUAGAGAGAUUGUUUCCAAAUGAAGCUCGGCUCAAGUGCAACAAAUCCAAUCCAAGUAAAAAGACAAGGAAAAUAUAGCAAUCAAUAAAGUGAAGAACCUACAAGAAAGUAGUGCAAAUUUAUCUCCUUAUCAUACAACAAGACAACACUCCCUUACCUGCUUAACCACCUUUUGCAUGCCCUAAUACGAGACCUCCCUAUCUAAAGUCAUGUCAUGUAUGUCGUAUCCCCAAUACUAGACAAAAGAGCAACAACAGAACAGAACAGAACCCUAUAUUCCAUACCAAUACUUGAAACUCAAUCAAAUAACUAUUCAAACCUUUCGUAACGCUUGCAUUCUUUAAGAAAAUAAUUCAUAUAAAGGUCAGGGUUGGGACGCUUGUUGAGAGGGUGAGGAAAACUCGGCAGAACUAAAGAUCCCUCGUCCAAGUUGUACAUUUGGAACGCAUAAGGCGAAAACCCCCAUUCUGUAAACUUCUUUCGGAUCGCCUCAAUUGACACACUCUUCUUCUCCUUUUCAUCUCUCAUCUCACCGUCCGUCGCCAUAUCCAUCGUUUUCUAUAGCACACACGGUUCAAAUUCGAGAUCUCAUUAUGCUUAUGUAUUAUUAUGCCUAUGAAUGGGAGUAGGGAAAGGAAAAAUGAGAGGUAGAAAAUCGAACCAUCACAAACAAGGUGAAAAAGUUUAAUUUUGGCUUAAUCAUUAUUGAAUGUGUAUGGUUGUUACGUAUCGUUUCAUAAUAUAUCGUAUUAUUUUAAUGAAUACAACAUCUUUUUUUAAGGCUCAUGACCUCUUUCCAUGACUUUAUUUUAUGAUCGUAAGGAUCCAUUCAUAUUUCACAUAUAGAGAUGGAUUACAUCAUUUCCGUUCAUUACAUAAUGGCCACACAUCAACAACAUGAAGAAUGAGUUUACAGAGGUUGCUAGAUCAACAACAUAGACCACAUUCAUUUAGAACCUACAUGACUACUCUAAAUCUUGAAUUCGCCUCUGAUUGUGACGAACUAUAUAUGAAGAAUUGCUAGAUCAACAAUGAGCAGCCUAUGAUUUAGUGAAAACAAAACUAGAUAUAAUUGUGUCAAUAUUUUGCAACUCCAGCACUCUGAGCCUUCCCUAAAAUCGACUCGAUGCUGCCAUGGAAAAGACCUAAGCUUUUCGCUAAAGCAAAGCCGCUAUACAUGCCAUCAACAGCUGCACUUACUAUCCCGCCAGCAUAGCCUGCUCCUUCUCCGAUAGGGUAAAGCCCUCUUAAAGACGUGCACUCGUAAGUGUCAGCACUUCGCGAGAUCUGGACAGGGGAACUAGUUCUUGUCUGUAAUGAGGAAGAAAUGAAAAGUUACCACUUCGGUUCAAGAAGCAAGAAAUGUGCAAGUUAUUAACUCCAAUGCUUUGUUUUAAUGAAUACAACAUCUUUUUUUAAGGCUCAUGACCUCUUUCCAUGACUUUAUUUUAUGAUCGUAAGGAUCCAUUCAUAUUUCACAUAUAGAGAUGGAUUACAUCAUUUCCGUUCAUUACAUAAUGGCCACACAUCAACAACAUGAAGAAUGAGUUUACAGAGGUUGCUAGAUCAACAACAUAGACCACAUUCAUUUAGAACCUACAUGACUACUCUAAAUCUUGAAUUCGCCUCUGAUUGUGACGAACUAUAUAUGAAGAAUUGCUAGAUCAACAAUGAGCAGCCUAUGAUUUAGUGAAAACAAAACUAGAUAUAAUUGUGUCAAUAUUUUGCAACUCCAGCACUCUGAGCCUUCCCUAAAAUCGACUCGAUGCUGCCAUGGAAAAGACCUAAGCUUUUCGCUAAAGCAAAGCCGCUAUACAUGCCAUCAACAGCUGCACUUACUAUCCCGCCAGCAUAGCCUGCUCCUUCUCCGAUAGGGUAAAGCCCUCUUAAAGACGUGCACUCGUAAGUGUCAGCACUUCGCGAGAUCUGGACAGGGGAACUAGUUCUUGUCUGUAAUGAGGAAGAAAUGAAAAGUUACCACUUCGGUUCAAGAAGCAAGAAAUGUGCAAGUUAUUAACUCCAAUGCUUUGUUUUAAUGAAUACAACAUCUUUUUUUAAGGCUCAUGACCUCUUUCCAUGACUUUAUUUUAUGAUCGUAAGGAUCCAUUCAUAUUUCACAUAUAGAGAUGGAUUACAUCAUUUCCGUUCAUUACAUAAUGGCCACACAUCAACAACAUGAAGAAUGAGUUUACAGAGGUUGCUAGAUCAACAACAUAGACCACAUUCAUUUAGAACCUACAUGACUACUCUAAAUCUUGAAUUCGCCUCUGAUUGUGACGAACUAUAUAUGAAGAAUUGCUAGAUCAACAAUGAGCAGCCUAUGAUUUAGUGAAAACAAAACUAGAUAUAAUUGUGUCAAUAUUUUGCAACUCCAGCACUCUGAGCCUUCCCUAAAAUCGACUCGAUGCUGCCAUGGAAAAGACCUAAGCUUUUCGCUAAAGCAAAGCCGCUAUACAUGCCAUCAACAGCUGCACUUACUAUCCCGCCAGCAUAGCCUGCUCCUUCUCCGAUAGGGUAAAGCCCUCUUAAAGACGUGCACUCGUAAGUGUCAGCACUUCGCGAGAUCUGGACAGGGGAACUAGUUCUUGUCUGUAAUGAGGAAGAAAUGAAAAGUUACCACUUCGGUUCAAGAAGCAAGAAAUGUGCAAGUUAUUAACUCCAAUGCUUUGUUUUAAUGAAUACAACAUCUUUUUUUAAGGCUCAUGACCUCUUUCCAUGACUUUAUUUUAUGAUCGUAAGGAUCCAUUCAUAUUUCACAUAUAGAGAUGGAUUACAUCAUUUCCGUUCAUUACAUAAUGGCCACACAUCAACAACAUGAAGAAUGAGUUUACAGAGGUUGCUAGAUCAACAACAUAGACCACAUUCAUUUAGAACCUACAUGACUACUCUAAAUCUUGAAUUCGCCUCUGAUUGUGACGAACUAUAUAUGAAGAAUUGCUAGAUCAACAAUGAGCAGCCUAUGAUUUAGUGAAAACAAAACUAGAUAUAAUUGUGUCAAUAUUUUGCAACUCCAGCACUCUGAGCCUUCCCUAAAAUCGACUCGAUGCUGCCAUGGAAAAGACCUAAGCUUUUCGCUAAAGCAAAGCCGCUAUACAUGCCAUCAACAGCUGCACUUACUAUCCCGCCAGCAUAGCCUGCUCCUUCUCCGAUAGGGUAAAGCCCUCUUAAAGACGUGCACUCGUAAGUGUCAGCACUUCGCGAGAUCUGGACAGGGGAACUAGUUCUUGUCUGUAAUGAGGAAGAAAUGAAAAGUUACC